CAUCAAUAAUUCGACAAAAUUCUGAUCAUUCUCACAAACGAAUUUAACUUUCUUCACCUCCAAUUCUUCAUUUUCCCCAUUCCCAUUGAUCCUCUUUAUUCCAACAAUCUCACAAUCAAAGAUCACAGCUUAAACCCAACUCAACCCCAAACCUAACAAGAAUUUAGGGGUUUCCUCGAAUGAAGCAGCAAAACAAAAGGGGGAAAUUUUUCAAACCUUGCUUUUCAUGAUUGAAAAAAAAACAAACAACCCACAAAAAUUAAGGAUCAAACCCGCAAAGAAUUUCACGCAGCACUCAAAAUCAAGAACAAUUACCCAGCAAGACUUUUAUGCAAUAUUUCAUUGACAACAAGAUUUCAGCAAGAUUUCAACAAGAUUUCAGAGAAAAUAGAACCUUAAAUGGCAGACCGUGCUGCACUGCUGCUGCUGUCGCGCCGAGGAGAGGAGAGCCGUUGGUGUCGCUGCUGUUGUCGCGCCGGGCUGGGAAGCAGUCGGUGCCCGGUGACCGGUGGUGGCAGAUGUUGCUAAUGUCGCGCCGGACCGUGCUGCACUGCUGCUGCUGUUAAGAUCGUCGAAUCUUCGCUGGAAAGAUGAGCCACCGUCGUGUCGGAGUGUGCCGUCGCGCCGGAGUGCGCGUCGCCGGCAACCGAGAGAGAGAUGAUAGAUUGGGGGUGGCUGCUGCGUGCUGAGUUAGGGACUUAGGGAGUUAGGGUUUGUCAUGUGUGUAAUUCAAAUUCACUAGUAAGGUAGAGUUCUAAUGGGCUUAGGAGUUGGGCCAUUUUGUGGGCUCAGAAAUAUAUUUAAUUUUGGGCUUACAUAUAAUAUAUUAUAUAUAUAAUUGUUUGAGC
Molecule: long non-coding RNA, 848 nt
Filed under: Salvia miltiorrhiza (redroot sage)
Lineage: Eukaryota; Viridiplantae; Streptophyta; Magnoliopsida; Lamiales; Lamiaceae
Description: long non-coding RNA (SMIL_LNC005405)
Source: RNAcentral